UUCACUAAUAAUUUUUAAAUAUUACCAUUGAUUAUUAGUCCAUGUGAAUUGAAUGGUGCAGGGAAUAGUGGUUGGUUUCAGGGGUAAUGGGUGAUUUAAUUUCAUGGUGAGUACACUUUAGAGGUCCAUUGUUUGCCUCUGAUUUUACCCCGUUAUUACUUGUCAUUAAGCUACACAUUGGAAGGUUUGCAAGUAACAAUUACAAAUGAAGACAAAUGGUAACAUAAGGUUAUCAAUCUUUGUGGAAGUAGUCUUGGCAGGAAGAGUAGCCAUCAAGAUGAUGCCAUUGAACUUGGAAAUGAAUUAGAUCAUGUUCUUGUUAACAUGCCUGCUUGGCUGCUAUCCAAACGCUUUUGAGGAAUAGUUUGAUGAAGGAUCUACACAAAUAUGCAGAUCUGAUGAAGGAAUUAUCUGAUGAGGACUUGUUUAUAUGCUUGUUUGUUGCUGUCCAUAUUACACAUUAUCACUGUAAAAUGCCUUGAGCUGGCUGUGGAAACCUAUGGAUGGGAGACAAAGAAGAGGCAAAAAGUUGCAUAAUGAAGAAUGACAUAGAGAUGUUCAUGUACUUGUACUGUAAAGAAGAAUAAAAAAAAUGCAUACCAAUGAGAUAAGUUGUUGUAUCACGUAUAACCUGCAUCGUCAAUUGUAAGAGUAUGUAAAUGUAAAUUUAUCAAACAUCAUGAAAAUCCACAGAACAACAUGAAGUAAAAGGAAGCAUAAAUUAGACAAAAAAAAUGCAUAAAUUUACCUGGCUUGCAAAAUGUAUGAGAGAGAGAGAAAGAGAAAGGCAAGGCAAGAGGCAUAAAUUAGACCAACAUGAGUGAAUGUGAUGGCAAGGCAAGGCUUUAAAUACUACUUGAGGGAAGAGAAAGAGCCUUGGGGAGAAAGGGCCUUGGAGCGUGAGAGAGAGAAAGGGCCUUGGAGUAGCACACAGCACUACAGUAGUAGCACACAGCACUACAAAACAAAAUUACUUUUAGCAGAAAUAUAGCUCACAGCACUACAGUAGUAGCACAUAGCACACAGCACUACAGUAGCACCUAUUCAUGUACUUGGCUGAAAGCGACCCGCCAAGCUUGGAGAAGGGCGGAUUUCGCUGGAAAGGGAAGAAAACGCCAAAAUUGGGCGAAAUCCAUUGUAAGAUUUAUUGAUUCAAUGAAUUAGGGCAUAAGUCGUAAUCCAUAGUGUUGUUAAAUGUAAUUUUAAAGCUAAUCACGUGUCUUAGAUGUGGAAUUUUUUAGUCUUAUUGCUAUUACUAGUGUUUUUUCACCAAUCAUCCAUCUAACAUAAUUGUAACUUGUUCAUUUUUAUUUUUUGACAAAUUCAUGUAACUUAUUUAAUUAGUGUAUGUAAAUCCACUUGCAUAAUAGGGUAUCAAAAGCUCCAAUGUAAAACUAAUUGUGAGUUGUUGUAUAUAAUAAAUGCAUCUAUUGACUAUUCCAUCAACAUGGCUCGAUUAAAAUACUGAGUCAAAUUUCACUACUCACAUGGUGAAAAUUCAUGAUCAAGUUAUGUUCACCCAUUUCUUAAUGAACAUGUAAUAUCAAUGAUACAACAAUUGGCUCAAUUAAACCACCAUAAAAA
Molecule: long non-coding RNA, 1584 nt
Filed under: Medicago truncatula (barrel medic)
Lineage: Eukaryota; Viridiplantae; Streptophyta; Magnoliopsida; Fabales; Fabaceae
Description: lncRNA gene40945
Source: RNAcentral